RNAcentral lists this ribosomal RNA (227 nucleotides) under uncultured bacterium. RNAcentral describes it as "partial 16S ribosomal RNA". It matches the Rfam family "Bacterial small subunit ribosomal RNA", at positions 92 to 334 of the family's 1533-position model. The record is from RNAcentral.
CGAGCGGCGGACGGCUGAGUAACGCGUGGGAACAUGCCCCAAAGUGAGGGAUAACGCACCGAAAGGUGUGCUAAUACCGCAUAUGGUCUUCGGAUUAAAGGAUUUAUCCGCUUUGGGAGUGGCCCGCGUACGAUUAGGUUGUUGGUGAGGUAAUGGCUCACCAAGCCUACGAUCGUUAACUGGUCUGAGAGGAUGAUCAGUCAGACUGGAACUGAGACACGGUCCAG